UAACCUGCUAACUAGUCGUUGGAAUGCGCAGCAUUGCAGGGACUUCUUAGAGGGACUAUUGGCGUUUUUAGUCGAUGGAAGUUUGAGGCAAUAACAGGUCUGUGAUGCCCUUAGAUGUUCUGGGCCGCACGCGUGCUACACUGAUAAAGGACAGCGAGUUAUGAGGGGGCCUUUGGGUUCCUGGCCUUGGUCGGAAGACCUGGGUAAUCUUUUGAAACUUUAUCGUGCUGGGGAUAGAGCAUUGUAAUUAUUGCUCUUGAACGAGGAAUUCCUAGUAAGUGCGAGUCAUCAGCUCGCGUUGAUUACGUCCCUGCCCUUUGUACACACCGCCCGUCGCUACUACCGAUUGAAUGGCUUAGUGAGGCCUCUCCAUCUGGCCUGUGUGCCCGCGAGGGGAUGUGGGUUGGAGAAAUUGGU
This 417-nucleotide ribosomal RNA is filed under the name uncultured fungus. RNAcentral describes it as "bacterial SSU rRNA". It matches the Rfam family "Eukaryotic small subunit ribosomal RNA", at positions 1344 to 1759 of the family's 1831-position model. Lineage: Eukaryota; Fungi. The record is from RNAcentral.